CCCCUAGUAACUGCGAGUGAAGCGGGAAAAGCUCAAAUUUAAAAUCUGGCGGUCUCCGGCCGUCCGAGUUGUAAUCUAGAGAAGUGUUAUCCGCGCUGGACCGUGUACAAGUCUCCUGGAAUGGAGCAUCAUAGAGGGUGAGAAUCCCGUCUUUGACAUGGACUACCAGGGCUUUGUGAUGCGCUCUCAAAGAGUCGAGUUGUUUGGGAAUGCAGCUCAAAAUGGGUGGUAAAUUCCAUCUAAAGCUAAAUAUUGGCGAGAGACCGAUAGCGAACAAGUACCGUGAGGGAAAGAUGAAAAGAACUUUGGAAAGAGAGUUAAACAGUACGUGAAAUUGCUGAAAGGGAAACGCUUGAAGUCAGUCGCGUUGGCCGGGGAUCAACCUUGCUUUUGCUGGGCGUACUUUCCGGUUGACGGGUCAGCAUCAAUUUUGACCGUUGGAUAAAGUUCAGGGGAAUGUGGCAUCUUCGGAUGUGUUAUAGCCCUUGGUCGCAUACAACGGUUGGGAUUGAGGAACUCAGCACGCCGCAAGGCCGGGUACUUGUACCACGUUCGUGCUUAGGAUGCUGGCAUAAUGGCUUUAAUCGACCCGUCUUGAAACACGGACCAAGGAGUCUAACAUGCCUGCGAGUGUUUGGGUGGAAAACUCGGACGCGUAAUGAAAGUGAAAGUUGAGAUCCCUGUCGUGGGGAGCAUCGACGCCCGGACCAGACCUUUUGUGACGGAUCCGCGGUAGAGCAUGUAUGUUGGGACCCGAAAGAUGGUGAACUAUGCCUGAAUAGGGUGAAGCCAGAGGAAACUCUGGUGGAGGCUCGUAGCGAUUCUGACGUGCAAAUCGAUCGUCAAAUUUGGGUAUAGGGGCGAAAG
RNAcentral lists this ribosomal RNA (867 nucleotides) under Hebeloma sp. Its description in RNAcentral is "LSU rRNA". It matches the Rfam family "Eukaryotic large subunit ribosomal RNA", at positions 77 to 929 of the family's 3401-position model. The record is from RNAcentral. Lineage: Eukaryota; Fungi; Basidiomycota; Agaricomycetes; Agaricales; Hymenogastraceae.